GGCAUUGCUUACAGGGGUCACAGACAUUCAGAUCAUGGCAGAACUGUCACAGAUGUUACUUUGUGAAAACACAAAGAAUAAUGUGUUUGGAGAGAUCAGUCUUCAAUUAGCUAUAUUUUCUAGGAGCCUACCUUUACUUAGCCUCACAACAUGGGCCUUAGCUUUAGCACUUAAUCUGCACAAAUACCUGGCUUAAGUGUUAUGACUGACUGGCUAUUCAACCAAACCAUACAAAUGACCAAUUCGGUAAGAAAGCAUGAACUUCAGUGUUGAACCAAAUCAACCAACCUCCUCAAUCCACAUGAACAAUGCUAUUCUAGGAGUCUGUGCUAGAAUAAAAUCCUAAUGCAAAGGCUGUCUUAAAAUGCUGAACCCAGAAGAAUUUGGCAUAAAUAAGACAUGGAGUUAGCUGACAUGAGAUAUUACAUUUAUUCCACUGUUGACGAGGACAAAACUGGGCCGCUAUUGUCACAGGCUUGCAGAGCUCAAACCAUUACACCAUUCAGAAGCUGGCUUUGGUAUUACUUCAAGUUAUUCAAAACAGUCACCACUUGCUGAGCCUCUGAUGUCUCAUCUGUUGAAUGGAUUUCAAGAGAGAAGGCUGAAAAGGAAGGUGACUGGAAUAUUAAGAACUGUGAGAUAUUCUGAGGAAACUCUAAUUUGUAAAUUGGUAGAAAUGCCAGUAAUUUGUUGGGAAUUGAAGACCCUCUGUAUUCAAGAGCGAAGCUUGGCAGCUGUGCACUGUUGUUUUAUAAAUCAAUAUUA
RNAcentral lists this long non-coding RNA (765 nucleotides) under Pan troglodytes (chimpanzee). RNAcentral's name for it is "lincRNA". The record is from RNAcentral. Lineage: Eukaryota; Metazoa; Chordata; Mammalia; Primates; Hominidae.